This is a long non-coding RNA of Drosophila miranda, 609 nucleotides long. RefSeq lists it as uncharacterized. The transcript has 4 exons. NCBI's taxonomy places the organism in Eukaryota, Metazoa, Arthropoda, Insecta, Diptera, Drosophilidae. The record is from RefSeq and is a predicted model, not a curated record.
UUAACAGCAGUUGCUGGUCCGUUCUGUUCUGUUUUUUCUUAUAGCCAUUAUCAUCUAGCCCUGUUCUUCACCCGCACACACACUGGUGCAGUUUUGUAUGCGGACAGCACUGUCGCUUACGUUUUGCACUGGAGAUCGCUGGAUAACGGACAACGGUCUGCGAUUGGAAUGAAUGGAGGUUACCUAAUACUCGUGGAGUGGAAAUGGAGCAAGGGAAGGCCAGUUACUUCACCAUGCAAAUAUGUUGCUAUAACCUUAUAAAUACGGCGUGAAGCUAACAGCGACUGUGACCUACAGCAUACUCUGUUGGACAUCUCAUUUACAUAAUGCAUACGUAUGUAUAUAAACACAUACCAGUGGUCAGCUCCUGCCACAACACUCCCACACACACAGACACGCAAUGGCGACUUUGCAGCUUCUCCUUAAAGCCAUCUUGCGAUCGUGGCGCAUCUCCUCCAGUGCAGAAACAAUGUCUGAGUAAUUAACAGAGCAAUUAGCAAUGAAAUUCGACAAUUUAGCAUUAACAUAUUCGUGCUGGUAUUUAUGGCAUAUUUAUGUACAUAAAUAUAGGCACAAAAUAAAGAGCAGAAGAAAUACAGUAAAUAUGUA